Molecule: ribosomal RNA, 253 nt
Filed under: Escherichia coli
Lineage: Bacteria; Pseudomonadati; Pseudomonadota; Gammaproteobacteria; Enterobacterales; Enterobacteriaceae
Description: partial 16S ribosomal RNA
Rfam family: Bacterial small subunit ribosomal RNA
Source: RNAcentral
AAAUUGAAGAGUUUGAUCAUGGCUCAGAUUGAACGCUGGCGGCAGGCCUAACACAUGCAAGUCGAACGGUAACAGGAAACAGCUUGCUGCUUCGCUGACGAGUGGCGGACGGGUGAGUAAUGUCUGGGAAACUGCCUGAUGGAGGGGGAUAACUACUGGAAACGGUAGCUAAUACCGCAUAACGUCGCAAGACCAAAGAGGGGGACCUUCGGGCCUCUUGCCAUCGGAUGUGCCCAGAUGGGAUUAGCUAGUA